This 42469-nucleotide long non-coding RNA is filed under the name Vigna radiata. RNAcentral describes it as "long non-coding RNA (VRAD_LNC001359)". The record is from RNAcentral. Lineage: Eukaryota; Viridiplantae; Streptophyta; Magnoliopsida; Fabales; Fabaceae.
GAGACAGUGUGCAUUGGAAGUGAGAGAGAGACACUGUUGAAGUUGAAGCAUCAUCUCAUUGAUCCUUCAAAUAGACUUUCUUCUUGGAAUGCUUCUCUCAAUCCCAAUUGUUGCCAUUGGUAUGGAGUUGUCUGCAACAACAUCACAUCUCAUGUUGCAGAGCUUCACCUCAACACUCCACCUCCUCUUUACGAUGAGAUAAUAGAAGCAUACGAAGAGGAUAAUAGAAGGGCAUUCAGUGGAGAGAUAAAUCCUUGUUUGGUUAAUUUGAAGCAUUUGAAUUACUUGGAUUUCAGCUGCAAUAAUUUUAAAGGUAUACCAAUUCCUUCCUUCAUUACAACAAUGACUUCCUUAACUCACCUCAAUCUUUCUCAUGCUGGAUUCAUGGGGAACAUUCCUCCUCAGAUUGGAAAUCUCUCCAAUUUGCUCUAUCUUGAUUUAAGUUAUGCUGCCAACGGAACAAUUCCUUCCCAGAUAGGGAAUCUCACCAACUUGCUCCACCUCCAACUCACAGGAUAUUAUUAUCUAUUUUAUGAAAAUGUUGAUUGGCUGUCAAGUCUUUCCAAGCUUUCUUAUCUUCACUUGAGCCACACUCGGUUACUCGUAGGAGGUAUGCCAAUUCCUUCUUUUCUUGGCUCAAUGACCAACUUAAUUCACUUGGACCUCUCUUUUUCUGGAUUUAUGGGCAACAUUCCUCCCCAGAUUGGUAAUCUUUCCAAUUUGGCGUAUCUAGACUUAACUAAUGCUGCCAAUGGAACUAUUCCCUCUCAAAUUGGAAAUCUCUCCCACUUGCUUCACCUUCGUCUUCCAGGUGAUUAUUUUGUUGGAAAUGAUGAUUGGUUGUCAAGUCUUUCAAAACUUGAAUAUCUUGAUUUGGGAGGUACAAAUCUAUCCCACUAUCGACUUAAGUAAUUUUACCUUAUAUUUUUUUGAAAAUAAAAGAAAAGAGUGAAAGAAGGAUAUGUGUUGAAAAUAUGUUUAAGUUGCUAUUCUUCAGUCCUGAAAAUAUUCUUAGAAUAUUUCACCAUAAAGAAACAAAAUGAGAAAGACUUUUGAGGUAAAUAUUUUGUGUUGACGUAGAAUUUAAAAAACUUUUCACACUUCUUUUUGGGUCUCUCUAAAAUUUUAGCAUCUAAAAUCACGUUACUCCUCGUCUAUUUUCUAACCCAUAUAAUGGGGGCAGAACUUUAAAAUUCAAGCAUAGGUUGAUGAAUUAUUUUAAACUUUAUUCAUUUUUUUUGUGUAAAGAAUUCUAAAUUUAACUUCACAAUCUUAAAAAUAGACAAUGAAGGAAUUUAUCUGAGUUGACUGAAACGUAUUUGAAAAUAAAAUAAAAAGUGUGGAAGAAGAAUGCUAGUCUCUGUAGGUUGUUAUUGUUUACCUCCAAAGACAGAAAAAAAAAAGGAAAAAAUUCAUCUUUGCGUGGACGUAGAAUUUAGAAAAUUCUUUCACACUUCGUUUUAGGUCUCUUAAGUGAUUUUUAGCACCUAAAGUCACGUUGCUGAUUUUGACAUGUAAAUUCAAUUUUAUAAAUUUAGCAUAUAAAAAUUAAAUUGUUGGAUAGAUAGCGUAAUAUAAAAUUUCAGGGGAGAACAAAAAAAACUUGACCCUUUUCUAUAUAUGUUUCUUCUUCUUUUUUUUAAAGGAAAAUAUUACUACAGGUAUGUUCUUCUCAUAUUUGAUUUUGAUUAUCUUACCAACUUAUGAUAAUGAUUAUGCUGAGAUUUAUAAUUUUCAUUAUAUUGGAUAAUUUUGUUCGUGUACAAAAUAUAAAUUAAUCUGGCGUUUCUAUAUUAUGCCUACGAGAUUUUCUUUAUCACAUGUAUAAUAAUUUGAUGCUUUGAAACCUUUUCAAGAAGAUAAACCGGUAUACAUAACAUCAUUUUAAAACACUCUACAUAAUAUAUUUCUAGCAUAAAUAAGAUAAAUAAUCAACGAAACAUGAGAAAAAAACACAAAGUCAUGAAAGAAAUUUAUAUUAUAUAUGAAAAAAUAUAUUAAAUUUAAAUACAUUAUAUCCAACCUCAAUUAAUAAGAUAGUUACACUAGUGCAAAAACGCUGUUUAACGUCACUCAAAAGACGUCGGUUCGAGAGAAGCCCGACGUAUAUGUGCGGACAAUGGCAUUACCGUAAAUAAGUUGGUAACCUAGACGUCGGUUUCGAGGGAAGGCGACGCCUAUGAGAUUGUAGACGUCCGCUCUGCCUUACACCGACGUCUAAUGGCUUGAGGUAGGAGAGAAGACAGUUUAUUGACGUUGGUUUUAAUGGGGGGCCGACGUCUACGGGGCUGCAAUUAAUGUUCAUCACCUGAUUCCAGAUGCUUAGACGUCAUGUAGUCAAAAAGCGACGUCUAUGGCCUGUCUGAAAGAGGGAAAGACAAAAAUUUCUGCAAUUUAGACGUCGAUGUUUAAGGGGAGAGACGUCUAUGUGCCUGUAAUUAAUUAUGUUCACCAAACUCGGACGUCCGGCAGAAGGGCACCAACGUCUAAAUUAUUAUAGACGUCGGCGCCCCUUCACAACUUUCAUCAACAUCCUUGACAAUAAAUGAAACGUCAAUCGGUUCAGCUUCCUAAACUUCAGCUCCCCUUUAAACUGACGUCUACUGGGCAUUCAAAAAGACAAAUUAAAUAUUAUCUUGGACGUCAAAUUAGUUAGAUAACCAACGUCUAGAUGACUAUAGACGUCGGUUUCUAGAGCAACCGAUGUUCCAUUUCAUUUUAAAUAAACCGUAGACUCUUUGCGGCAUUGCGAUUUCUGAUAUCGUCUCCCUCUUCUCCUUUUUCUCUUGCGGCACCUCUUCUUUUUCUCUCUUGCGGCAUUACAUUAUUGUUUCUGAUAACAUCAUCAUCUUCCUCCUCUCUUUUUUCUCUCUUGCGGCAGAGCAUCCUAGGUGCGUGGUUUCUUAUGGUUAUCGUUUAACCUUUGUCGGUCUUUCAUCGAUUAUCUUCUGGUUCAACUGAUUAAAACUUGUUUUGUUUGUGUUGUGUUUUAGUGCAGUUUUGUUUUUUUCUUGGGUAACGUAGUACCACAUUCUUCCUUUGCUAGCUGCCUCCAAGAAAAAGCGGCGUCUUUUGGAUUUAUUGUGACAUUUCGACCCAAAAACGAACCUGGGACGUUGCCUAGUUUUGAAAAUGGAACUAAUCAACAACCAAGGUUCGGUGUUGGGUUGAAAUGCCAUUAGAAAUUCAAAAGACGCAUGCUUUUUUUUUAGGGAAACUAGCAAAAGGAGAGUGUGCUACUAGGCUAUCCAAAGACAGGAACAAAACUGCACUAAAACACAACAACUAUAUUAGACGUCGGUUAAUGCAUUAACCAACGUCUAUAGUGACCUUAGACGAUGGUUAGUGACAUGUUCGAAGUCUAUAUAGUGCUCUUAGACGUCGGUUAAUGCGUAGUCCGACAUCUAUAUACUGCCUUUAGACGUCAGUCAUGGCACUGACGGACGCCACUACAGACAUCUGUUGGGUGUCUGUCCGACGUCCCAUUGACGUCACCGGUAAUGACGUCGGUUGUUUAGUAGAUGUUAAAAGCCCAAAAUAACCGACGUUAAUGAGCGUUUUUCCACUAGUGUUAGAUACUCCUACAUGUGAGUGACACAGAAAUGGAACAAAAUAAUGAAUUAGAUGAAGAUGAAAGUGAUUUUUGAAAAAAAAAAAAAGAAAACUCUCUUUUUCGUUCAUAUUAUAGCGAAAAGAUGCAACAGAUAAAACCAUAAGUAAUUAAAAUUAAGUUAUUUUCAAUCAAAUGUUUGUAAACUAUUAAUUAGUUUAUUUAUCCUUCAUACUUCAACUAUUGUUCAUAAAAACAUCCAAAUAGACACACAAACUAUUAAAUAAAAAGUUUAAAUUUAUUACAAAAUUGACUAGUAAUCCUAUAUGAAUAUUUUUUUUUCUUUGUAAUUAAGAACGUCUUUCAGUGAGAAGGAAGUCAUUAUUUUGAUUUUAUGUAUCUAUUGGUUAAUUGUUUAGCCCAUAAGAUUAGUUUCAACAUGCCAAAAGAGCAAUAGCAAAGUCUUUCAAAUGGUUUAGUUUGUAGACAUUCCAAUUCCAGAUAAUUGGUGUGCUAAUUUCCUAACGCAUAUGGAGAAGGAAUUCCAAUCGCUGUCAAUGGAAUAGCAUUACAUCUGGUGGUGCUGAGCUUCACCUUAGCAUUCAAUUUCCUUCUUCCGAUGAGAGUGUAGGUNNNNNNNNNNNNNNNNNNNNNNNNNNNNNNNNNNNNNNNNNNNNNNNNNNNNNNNNNNNNNNNNNNNNNNNNNNNNNNNNNNNNNNNNNNNNNNNNNNNNNNNNNNNNNNNNNNNNNNNNNNNNNNNNNNNNNNNNNNNNNNNNNNNNNNNNNNNNNNNNNNNNNNNNNNNNNNNNNNNNNNNNNNNNNNNNNNNNNNNNNNNNNNNNNNNNNNNNNNNNNNNNNNNNNNNNNNNNNNNNNNNNNNNNNNNNNNNNNNNNNNNNNNNNNNNNNNNNNNNNNNNNNNNNNNNNNNNNNNNNNNNNNNNNNNNNNNNNNNNNNNNNNNNNNNNNNNNNNNNNNNNNNNNNNNNNNNNNNNNNNNNNNNNNNNNNNNNNNNNNNNNNNNNNNNNNNNNNNNNNNNNNNNNNNNNNNNNNNNNNNNNNNNNNNNNNNNNNNNNNNNNNNNNNNNNNNNNNNNNNNNNNNAUCUGGUGGUGCUGAGCUUCACCUUAGCAUUCAAUUUCCUUCUUCCGAUGAGAGUGUAGGUUAUCCAUUCAACAAAGAUGUUUUCCAAGAAGCAUCAAGAAGCUAAAUUUUCUAACAUGUAAAGUGACCUAUGAAUUAGAGUUCGUGUAAACUAAUCUUUAUCUUAUCAUAUAAUUUGAAAAUGAAUAAUGGAAUAUUUUUUACUUAACACAAGAUUUGGUAUUAGAAAGCUAAAAAAGUGGAAAGUAGAAAGGUAUUAAAAGAAUUAACUGUAAAAAUUAAUUUCAUUAAAUAUAAUUUCAAUCAUAUAUUUUAAAUGUAUGAUCAGAAUUUAUUUCUUUCACAUCUGACACUUGUUCAUGUUUCCGUAUAUUAUUGUGAAAUUGAAAUUGAAAUAUUUUAUCUCUUUACCCAACAAAUAAAUAUAAGAGGUCUUCUCCUUUCAAAUAUAAAAUUGUAUGAAAUGUUUUAGUAAAAAAAAAUUGAACAAUUAGAGUUUUAAAAGGGAAGAUUAUGUGGUAAGGAUGAGGGACAAAUCAUGUUUUUGAAAAAAAAUUCCACUCUUUCGGAAAGUUUUUUUUUUCGUGUGAAAUGUAAAAUAUGUGAAAAAUAAACAGAAGCUUUGAAAAGUAAAAAUCAUAGUAAACCAGAAAUUGUAUAUACACAUGCAUUUUACACAAAUAACUUCUUAAAACAAUUGAUAAUGAAAACAAAAUUUACAAAAAAGAAUAAAAAAAUAUCUUUAUAAGUUAGGGAUUUGUAUGAGUUGUAUAUUUAUUAUUCUUUCUACCGCUUAGAUUAUUGCACCUUUAUUAUCAAGCCAAUUCUUAAAUUUUAAGCAGUCUUUCUUCAUAUGUAUCCUUUCUUUUUAAAAAAGAAACAGCUGGACUCCUUCUUAAUAACUGUCUUAGCAGGAAUCUUUCCCUUCACAUUAACUUGGUUCUUCUUAUUCUCAAAAGAAGUAUUCAAUUUCACCCUCUCCCCUUCUUCUAUUAAUAGCCUUUCUUCUUCUUGAAAACACAUGGUCAAUAAUUCAUUAAUAGACCAUUUAUCUUUAUGUGUGUUGUAAGAGAUUUUGAAGGGGGCAUAAUGGUGAGGCAAAGUGCACAAAAUAUAGUGUACCAGGAAAGAAUUAGACAUGGUAACUUCCAAAGCUUUUAGUUGUGCAACAAUGUCCCUAAUGCGCAUGAUAUGAUCACGCACUCCCUUAAUUCCAGUGAGCUUUAAGGAUGAAAACUGCAUUAUAAGGGUGCUGGCAAAGGAUUUAUUGGAUGUCGGAAACUGCUCAUCAAGAGCCCUUAGUAAAUCUUUGACAUUCUCAUACUGGUCAACUGAACCCCGGAUACCAGCGAAAAUAUUGGUUUUUAUGAACGUAACGGAGAGACGAUUUGACCUCUCCCAUUUUUCAUAAAGAUCAAUGUCAUCUUGAGUGUUGGUCUCAUUAAUACUUGAUGGUUCUGGUUUUCUAAUAGCAUAGUCAAUGUCCAUCCAGCCUAAAUGAAGAAGAACUCUUUCCUUCCAAAUCUUAUAAUUAUCUCCUUUCAACUUGGGAAUACCACACUUGAUAUCAGAAAAAGUCACAGAUUGAGAAACUGCAAAUUCAAAAUUACAUGCUUAUUAUAUAUUUUGAGACUAAAAAUAAAUGUCAUGUUUUACCAAUGUAAACAUGUCUUUACCAAUGAGUUUAUUAACAUAAAACUUGCCUGUGGGCUAAAGUCUUACUCAAUUAAACUCAUUAUCUUAAUGAUAAAACUAUCAAAUUAUAUGUCAUGUUUCACCAAUGCAAAACAUGUCUUUACCAAUGAGUCUAUUAACAUAAAACGUACCUGUGGGCUAAAGUUUUACUCAAUUAGACUCAUUCUCUUAAUGAUGAAAUUAUCAAAUUAUAUUUCAUAUUUCACCAAUGCAAAACAUGUCUUUACCAAUGAGUCUAUUAACAUAAAACUUGCCUGUGGGCUAAAGUUUUACUUAAUUAGACUCAUUUUCUUAAUGAUAAAAUUAUCAAAUUAUAUGUCAUGUUUCACCAAUGCAAAACAUGUCUUUACCAAUGAGUCUAUUAACAUAAAACUUGUCUGUGGGCUAAAGUCUUACUCAAUUAGACUCAUUUUCUUAAUGAUAAAACUAUCAAAUUAUGUUCCUUUUCUUAAUUCCUAUGGGUAAAUUAAGAAAUAUAAUUUAAUAUUUUAUCCUAAUUAAUCAUAUAAAUAUGAAAAAAAAUUGUGGGUAGAUUUUAUCAUAUUAAAUAUAAUUAUUUACAACUAAUGUUUCUCAUGUAGCAAAACUCUAUAUACAAUUUUAAUUGAUUAAAGAUAUUGUGACUACUCUUUAAUCUAUUAACACUAUAUUACUACUAAAACAUUAAUAAUAUAUAAAUAUUUACAUAAAAUUCUUAAUAUGUAAAUAUAUUAAUAAUAAUGCAUAUUUAAUUUGCACAUAUAACAACAAAUAUAUCCAUACAAAUAAUACCCAAAAAAAUAUAUAUAAUUAUUAAUCAAAAAACAUUUAAACAUAUAUAUAUAUAUAUAUAUAUAUCACGUUCAAGGAUUAAUUACCUUUUACCAAGCCUACAAAUUUUCCUAGAGGGAAAGAUGAUGGGAGACACGAUGGUGUGUUUUCUAAAUAGAAGAGUAGGCUUAAGUGAUCAAAACUAAGAGUAACUCAUUCCUUAUACAUAGAGUCUAACCAUCACAAGUUCAAAAUAAUGGAUUGGACUUUACCUUUAAUCAAUAUAAUAACUUCUUCAUAACCUCUCUAUACUGUUAAAAACAGAUAAAAAUAUUGGCUUAAUGGAUUUAUGUUCCUUAAAAAUAGAAAUUUAAAAUGCUAUAAUAUUUAUUUUAUAAUUAAAAUAAUUCUAACAACUUCAUCUUCUAAGAUUUUCCAAAACUUUUUUAAUUUUAAAAUUUUAUAAUUUAUCCAAACAUUAAAAAUAACAAAAGUAUGAAACCCCUUCUCACUAACAGUAUUUUGAUAAAAAGAAAAUAUAUUUGUAUGCAAUAUUAUUAGGUAAUUUAUAUUUGAAUUCUUAAAUAUUUAUGUAUUAGGAGUAAAAAUAUUUAUAAAUUUUAUAUAUUUUUUGUAUUUAUGAGUAAAAAAAACAUUUAUAUGUAAUACAGUAUAUUAUAAUUUUUUUUUCAUAAUUUGAUAAACCAUAAAAUGGGUUGGACUAGUUCUAUUUUUUUUUCUUUUUAUGUAUUUAAAGAAGCUUUCAAACAUUUUUUGGUCGUCUCUCAUUUAAUUUUAGCUCCUAAAUUACGUUUCUUUUUUUUUUUAAAAAAAAAGAUACAAAAUAUGUUACUGAUUUUGACAACUCAAUCUGAUUUUAUAUUAUAGAAAAUUUAAACUUUGAUAUAGGUUCAUCUCUACUUCUGCCAUGUCACCAUCAUCAAUUGGAACAACUUCUCUUUUACUUUGAAUCAUUAUUGCUUAUCUAUCUCCACACUAAAAAUCAAAAUUGGUUUCAUUUCUCUUGGAGUUUGAUUUUCAUUAUUUUCAAUUGAGUGUUUCACAUCCAAAUACACAUAUAUUAAUUAUAUUCUCAUCUUGAAGUCAAAUUAUGAUAUAUCAUACGAACACUUCAACAAAUUUAUUUGCUUUAUAACUUCAUAAAAUAGUUCUAAGCUUAAUAAUUUGAUGGAUGAUUUAAUCUAAACUUUUUUUUUAUCAAAUGUUAGAAAGGUCUUAAAAAUUGCUUCUUCACUUACUUAAAUGCUUUUAGUCAACCUUAUAUCUUUCUCAAAUUUAUCUAUCAUCAAUAACUGAAAUUCACAAUUUACUCAUUUUUAAAGUCUUAAUUUGAAAAAUAAAUCUUUAUAUUUACAUAUUUUCAUAAGUUGAUUAUUCUUAAUUAUAUGCAUAUGUACCUACAAAAUUUCAAUAUCUUCAUUAUAUCAUAUUUACGAAAUUUGAUUCAAUGGUAUAGUAUAAAAUGAUUUAGGUUAAAUCAUAUCAUUUGUUUCAGUUUUUUUGGAGAGAUAUCAAAUUAGUCCUUUUUUUAUACAUCUCAGUUUGUUUCUUAUUUUAGAAAAUUUGAUGCAAUCAAGUCUUUUAAAUUAGUAUUGUACUAACAACGUUAAAGGGAUAUCAUGUGUUAGUUCAUAGAUUUUUUAAUUUUUCAAUUUAUUUUUUCAAUUUUUAAAUUUUCUUUUAAAGGUAAAAAAUUAUUUCAUGUCAAACUAAUGUCGGAUAACAUAACAAUAAUAAUUUCACGUGUAUAUGUAUCAUUGUUUUAGUCACAUGUUAGUCCCAGUAUCUUUAUUUUAUCUAAAUUUAAUUCCAUUUUUUUUUUUAAAAAUCAAUCAAUUUUUCAUUUCUCUUUAAAUUAAAAUCAAAUUUAAUUUUUAUAUAAAUGUUAUAUAAAUAUUUUUAUUAAAUUUGAUAUUUUUAUUAAAUUUUUUUAACAAUAUUAAGUUUAUUUAUAUUUAUUUUAUUUUGAAUUUUAUUUAAAAUUGUUUUUAAAUUUUAAAUUUGUUUGUUUUAAAUUUUUAUAAAACUAUUUUCAAAUUUUACAUUUAUAUUUAUAAAAUUGUUUUCAAAGGACUUGUUCUCUUGAUCAAACUUUUUUUAACAAGAAAUGUUAAGUUUUUUCUAAACCAUAUGGAAUUGUGUCAGUUUUUUCUCUAUAUAUUAUAUAUUUUUAUCUUUUUAAAUUAUUGUCCCUUUCAAAAAUUAUUUCUUAGUUUCAAAUUGAUGUAUAUUUUAAAGUUAUUAUUCUUUCCUACACGUUAUACAGCUUAGAUUAUUCCAACACAUAAGAUAAAAAACUUGAAUGUGAGGGGUUGGCCUAACAAUGAUAUUUGAGUGAGUGACUGUUAAGUGAAUGGUUAAGACUCUGUCAAACAAUGAGUUCGGUUUUUAAAGUCAAGACAGAGAUAAUACAUUUAAUGUGAACUUGACUAUUUAUACUCUUUAAAUUAGAUUAUAAUAUUAAUUUUCUUAUAAAAUAAUUCUUGGUUGUCAGAAAAAGGAAGUUAAAUAAAAUAAUUAAAAGUGAUUUAAGGAGUCAGUAAAUUCAAAAAAUUAUUUUGAUAAAUAAAGUUAACAAUUUGUUUAAAUAGAUUAUUGUCGUUUAUUACAUGAGGAAAAUCAAUAACUCGAUCUCUAAAAUAGUUUUGUUUAUGAUUGAUGUGUGGUGUUCUAAUUUUGUAAUCCAUAUAUGACUUUAAAAGUCUUUUUGAUUUCAUUUUCUGCAUUUCCUUGUCAUAAUUUGAUAAACCAUGAAAUGGGUUGGACUAGUUCUAUUUUUUUUUCUUUUUAUGUUAUUAAUCUCCUUAAUUUUCUAACUUAUAAAAUGGACAAGCCUUCCAUACAUUUUUUGGUCGUCUCUCUAAUUAAAUUUUAGCACCUAAAUUACGUUUCCUCUUCUCUAUUAAAUUGGUAGACUUAAAAAAAAUACAAAAUAUUUUACUGUUUUUGACAACUCAAUUUGAUUUUAUACUACAGAAAAUUUAAAUUAUUUACUAAUAUUGCUGGAUCUGAAACCGGGCUUUUUUGUGUUUUCAGAUAGAUUUUUUAUUCUAGUUAUAAAAAACAUUCAAGUCACUACAUAAAUUUUGUCACUUUGUCACUUUUCAAAAUAUGGAUACUCUAAAUUCCUAUUAAAAUAUUAAACAAUAACAGAAAAAAAAAAAAAAAAAAAAACUUGUUAGAUAUAAAGCGUAAACAUAAAAAGGCAUUACAGCAGUAUAUAUAGGUUAUUUCCUAUGCAUAACCCGUAAGCACUUUUUUUUAUAAUGAAACAAAAAGCACUUGUUAAAAUGAAUUCCUUCCUUCUGAUUAUCGUCUUUGUUCAUCUUUGUUGGGUUUCUCUAAGUGUGAGCGUAGAGACAAUGUGCAUUGGAAGUGAGAGAGAGAUACUAUUGAAGUUGAAGCAUGAUCUCAUUGAUCCUUCAAAUAGACUUUCUUCUUGGAAUGUUUCUCUCAAUCCCAAUUGUUGCCACUGGUAUGGAGUUCUCUGCAACAACAUCACAUCUCAUGUUGCAGAGCUUCACCUCACCACUCCAUAUCCUCUUUACGAUGAGAUCCUAGAUGAUGUUGUUUAUGACGAAGCAUACGAAGAGUACAAUAGAAGGGCAUUCAGUGGAGAGAUAAAUCCUUGUUUGGUUGAUUUGAAGCAUUUGAAUUACUUGGAUUUCAGCGGCAAUCAAUUUUAUGAGAAGUCAUUUCCUUCUUUCAUAGCAACAAUGACUUCCUUAACUCACCUCAACCUUUCUAAUGCUGGAUUCACGGGGAACAUUCCUCCUCAGAUUGGAAAUCUCUCCAAUUUACUGUAUCUUGAUUUAAGUGAUGCUGCCAGUGGAAGAAUUCCUCCUCAGAUAAGAAAUCUCUCCAACUUGCUCCACCUCGACCUCGGAGGAUAUUAUGAUUAUGAAGAUGUUGAUUGGCUGUCAAGUCUUUCCAAGCUUUGUUAUCUUGACUUGGAGAACACUAAUCCACUUGUAGGAGGUAUGUCAUUUCCUUCUUUUCUUGGCUCAAUGACCAACUUAAUUCACUUGGACCUCUCUUAUUCUGGAUUUAUGGGCAACAUUCCUCCCCAGAUUGGUAAUCUUUCCAAUUUGGCUUAUCUAGAUUUAAGUUAUGCUGCUAAUGGAAUUAUUCCCUCUCAAAUUGGGAAUCUCUCCAACUUGCUUUACCUUGAUCUUCAAAGUGGUUAUUCUAUUGAGAACACUUUGUUUGUUAGAAAUGUUGAUUGGUUAUCAAGUCUUUCAAAACUUGGAUAUCUUGAUUUGAGAGGUGCAAACCUAUCCCAAUCAUUUCAAUUGCUUCAUACCCUCCAACUUCUUUCUUCUUUGAAGCACUUACAUUUGUCAGGAUGUACACUCUCUUCGUAUAAUCAACCAUCCUUUGUUAACUUUUCGUCUCUCAUCACUCUUGAUCUUUCCUAUAUUUCUUAUCAUUCUACAAUUUCUUUUAUUCCAAAGUGGGUAUUUGGACUCAAAAAACUUGUUUCUCUUUUCUUAGAUAAUAACUACUUUGAAGGUCCAAUUCCCGAUGGUAUUCGAAACCUCACACUUCUUGAAAAUCUUGAUUUGCGUGGAAAUUCAUUAUCAUCUUCUAUACCUCAUUGGCUUUUUGGUGUUCUUUCUCAUCUCAAGUUCUUGGACCUAUCAAGUAACAACUUACAAGGAGUUAUUCCUGAUGCCUUAGGGAGCUUGACUUCUCUAAUUGCACUUUAUAUGGAAGAAAAUCAACUCAAAGGUCCAAUCCCAACUUCUUUAGGAAAGGUGACCUCUCUAGUUACACUUGAUUUAUCAUACAAUCAACUUUCAGGCAAUCUAACACUAGAUUAUUAUGGCAACAACGUUGGUGGUGAACAUCCAAAAUUACAUGGAAAAAUUUCAUCACUGAGAGUUCUUAGGUUGUCCUCAAAUCAACUUGGUGGAAAUCCAUUUAAAAGUCUUGGAUCACUCUCUAAGUUGUUAUACCUUGACAUUGAUGACAAUAAUUUUCAAGGAGUUGUCAAUGAAAGUCAUCUUGAAAAUCUUAUAUGCUUGAGAUCGUUUCAUGCAUCAGGAAACAAAUUGACUUUAAAAGUAGAUCGUAAUUGGCAUCCUACUUUCCAACUUACCAAUCUUGAUAUGAGCUCUUGGCAAUUAGGUCCUAAUUUUCCAUCAUGGACUCACUCACAAAAUGAACUUCUAUAUUUGAAGAUGUCUAAUACAGGGAUUCUAGAUUAUAUUCCACCUUAUUUCUGGGAGGCUUGUUAUUCUCUUGAAUAUUUAAACUUCUCUAAUAACUAUAUUCAUGGUAAGAUUGAAAAUUCAUUGUCAAAUCCAAUAUUAUUUGAGAUUGUUGAUCUAAGCUCAAAUCACUUGCAUGGAAAGUUACCGAUUUUUUCUAGUCAGGUUGGAUGGCUAGAUCUCUCAGAUAAUUCAUUUUCUUCCAUGAAUGAUUUCUUAUGUCGCAAGAAAAUUAAGAAAUUUAAUUUGUAUUAUCUCAAUCUUGCUUUGAAUAACUUAUCGGGAAAAAUUCCUGAUUGUUGGAUAAAGUGGCCAUAUUUGUUAAAUGUAAAUCUACAGAGCAACCUUUUUGUUGGGAACAUGCCCUUAUCCAUGGGCUCUUUAGUUUGGUUACAGUCUUUGAACAUCCGUAACAACUCAUUAUCAGGAAUAUUUCCUAUUGCUUUGAAGAAGAACAACAAAUUGAUAUCCUUGGACAUUGGAGAAAAUAAUCUUUCGGGAACUAUUCCAACAUGGAUUGGAGAAAAGUUGCCAGAAAUAAAAAUUCUUCGCCUUCGAUCAAACAAUUUUUCAGGUCAUAUUCCAAAUGGCAUAUGUGAUAUGAUAUUUCUUCAGGAUUUUGACCUUGCACAAAAUAGUUUGUCUGGAAAUAUUCCAAAUUGUUUAAACAACUUUAGUGCCAUGUUCAAAAAAAACAAAAGUACAUAUUCAACUAUUGAUACCAAUGAGGUGAUUCCGGAUGUAAUCAGUAUUAUCAUAUGGACAAAAGGAAGGGCUUUAUUGUAUAAGAGUAUUCUUGGCUUGGUGACAAAUGUUGAUCUUUCUAAUAAUAAGUUAUCAGGAGAGAUACCUAGAGAAAUUACAUAUCUAGAUGGUUUGAUAUAUUUGAAUUUAUCUAGGAAUCAAUUGUCUGGCCAAAUUCCACCAAGUAUUGACAAUAUGAGAUCAUUAGAAUCCAUUGAUCUAUCGAGGAAUCAAUUAUCAGGAAAAAUCCCUCCAACCAUAUCAAAUUUGAGCUUUCUCAACAACCUAGAUUUAUCUCAUAACCAUUUAGAGGGGGAAAUUCCAACGGGCACUCAAAUUCAAAGCUUUGAAACAUCAGACUUUGUUGGAAAUAAUUUAUGUGGUCCACCCCUACCCAUCAAUUGUAGUUCCAACCAGGAAAUUCCAUAUGUUGACCGCUCGAAAACAGAAAAUGGUGGGCAUGGAGUGAAUUGGUUCUUAGUGAGCUUCACAAUUGGAUUUAUUGUGGGAUUUUGGAUAGUUAUUGCUCCUUUGUUAAUUUAUAGAUCAUGGAGGUAUGCAUAUUUUUCCUUCCUCGAUAACAUGUUCUAUAAAGUACGAUCAUAUUGGUGAUUGUUGAUUUGUAAUGUAGCACUAUUGUUUUAUUUGACAUUCAUCUAUCUAUCUCUGUAUGAAUGUGUGGUCUACAUUUAUGUUUGUGUUAACAUGUUUUUGUAUUUUCUUCAUCUUAAAAUGCCAAAAAGUUUAUGUUUUUCGUGUUUCUUAAUUGCAGUAUUAGUAUGUCGUGUUUCGGUAUUAUUUUAAUGAUCUAAUUCUUAUUUUAUUCUCUUUCUUUUCUCGUACCAUGGUUAAAUGUAUUUUCUUCUAAUAGUUCUACUAGAAUAAAAUGCAAUAGAUAUAUUUUGUCUCUGCUAUUGUUUUUAGGAUGCACAUAUCAUCAUCAUUAUUUUAGGAUAUCCUAUUAGGUCACAUUUUUUAUUAAACAAAUUUAGGAAAAGUUGCUUAUCUUUUAUAAAAUUCUAAAAAAAAAAUAGAAAACCUUAUAUUUCUUAAAAGAAAAUAGCACAGUCUAAAAUAAAUUUAUAAAUUUGCUAGUUUUUUUUGUCAACAUUGUUGUUAGUUGUGUGGGCCACAACUUAUGCUUGCAGGGCUGUAUCAAUUUUGACACGGCGUUUUCUAUUUGUAGGUUUAUAAGUUUAUAUACUCAUACAAGAAAAUUUCCAUUUUAUCCUUUUUAGUACAAUUUAAAUUAUGUGAUUGAUCGUUCUGAUAGAAAUGAUUUCUUAAUUUGACAAAGGAAAAAAAAAAAUUAUAACAAUGGAUAUCUAUCUAUAUAUACAUAGAUUAAAAAAAUACAUAUAAAUAGAAAAUAUAAUAAAAAUAUAAAUAGUGCCUCUUAUCUUUAACCAAUUAUUUGCUAAAAUUUAAUUAUAGGGGUAAAAGCUGUAACUUGUUUUCAAUAUUCAGCAUCUUGAUUAAAUUAACACUUCGCAACUUCUGAGUCUCUUUGUUGAAUCACAUGUUUUUUUCUAGAAAAUAGGUGAACUAAUUCUUUUCUUUAGAACUAUAUUGGAAAAUUUCUUGAUCCAUAUGACUCAAUUGUUUCCAUAUUUUACUUCUACAUAAAAACUCUGACUAUGUAUAUAUAUAAAAAAAAUACUUUUGAAUUGCGUAAUUCAAAGUAUAAAAAAUAUCAAAUUGUAUAUGGUUCAAAAGUAAUUUAAUAAAGACAAUCUCAUACUUAGGUAGUAUGAUUUGAACUCUUUUAUUUUUUAAUUUUGUAACAUUAGCACAUAUUUGUCUUUUUAAUUAGUUUUAUAUAUUUUUAUUUUAAAGAAAACCAAACAUACAAAGAUAUAGUGGUAAUUUUAUAAAUUUUAAGAACUUAUUAGCCCCAAUUGCACGGGAACCGAAGCUAUAUACCCAUUUGGUAUCGAUUAUUAAAAAGUCGAGGCUAAAAAGUAAGAAAUUUUCAAAAUUUUUUUAAAUUUCACUUUUUUUUAAUUAUUUUAUAUGGGAAAGGAAAUUUGGUUUCGAUUAUCAAAUAAUCGAAAUCAUACACCCUUUUCUGCCUCGGUUACCCACCAAUUAAGGUCAAUAGGUAUAUGAAAUUUUCAAAAUUCCUGCUAUUCUUUUAAUUAUUUUAUCUUAAGGAGAAAACUUUUUUGCUUCGGUUCUCAAAUAAUUGAAGUAACACACAUCCUUUUUCUACUUUGUGAAUUUUUAAAAUUUUCAUUAUUUUUUUAAUUAUUUUAUUUAUAGGUAGAGAUUUGGCAUAAUUUUCUAUUUCAAUUCUCCAACAAUCAAGGUAGAAAGAUGUGUGAAAAUUUUCAAAAUUUUAAAAAUAUUUGAUUUCGGUUUCUUUAAGAAUCAAGGCCAAAUAUUCUAUUUUUCCUUGGUUCUUGUAAGAAUUGAAACUAUACAUCAUGUUCUACUUUAGUUGUUAAAGAAUCGAGAUCAAAAUGUGUCAAAAAAAUUUCAAAAUUUUAACAGUAUUUCACUAAAAAUAAAACAUGUAUUAUAUACAAUCAAAUUCUAUCAAAUGUAAAAUUUGGCGGUAAUAACUUUCUUCGAUGAACUGAAAUUUGUUAGUAAAAAUGCAAUUAGUAAACAUUCAAUUAGUAAAACCACUUCAUCUUCAUUCCCAUCACUUUGUUUUUGUCAAUUUUUGUGUUCUCCUAGGAAUAACUAAUCUUUAAGGUGACGGAUUUUCAUCAAAUGUUUUAGGAGUCUCGAAAUAUAUAGUAUAAACAUUUUUGGAAUGACAAAUAUAUAAACUAUAUUAAAAAAUAUUAAAAUUUAAAAAAAAAAAUAGUUUAGAUUAUAUAUAAAUAUAAAAAAAAAAUAGGGGGAAGAGGGCCAAGGUUCUCUAUGUCACAUCUAAAGUCUGCCUCUGCCUCUCUAUUCAUUAGUAUUGAAUAUAAUAUAUUCAACUAGAAUAUUUGGAUUUUUAACGAUGAAGGAUAAUUUUAUAUCACCAAACCUUCCUGAACUAUCAAACAAUCUAUAACUCUUAAUCAAGAUUUUAUUGAAUAACAUCAGUUGAAUUUAAUUCCACCAUCUUAAGUAAUAUUACCUUAUAUGUUUUGAAAAUAAAAGAAAAGAGUGGAAGAAGAAUAAUCUGUGUAAGUUGCUAUUCUUCAGCCCGAAAAUAUUCUUAGGACCAUAAAGAAAGAAAAUGCAGACAAAAUGAGAAAGACUUUUGAGGUAAAUAUUGUGUUGACGUAGAAUUUAAAAAAGCUUUUCACGCUUCUUUUUAGGUUUCUCUAUUUUUUUUACACCUAAAAUCACGUUGCUUCUCGUCAAUUUUCUAACCCAUAUAAUGGGAGCAUAGCUUUAAAAUUAAAGCAUAUAAGAUAAUGAAUUAUUUUUUUCAAAAUGCAAGAGUGUCCCUCCUCCUAGCACACAAAAAAUCAAAGAGUCUGCAUAGAAAAGUUAUGAGACCAUAAAACAAAUAUUUUACACUUUAUUCAUUUUUUGUGUAAAAAAUUGUAAAUUUAACUUCACAUUCAGUUAAAAAUAGACAAUGAAGGAAUUUAUCUCAGUUGAUUGAAACGUAUUUGAAAAUAAAAUAAAAAGUGUGGAAGAAGAAUGUUAGUCUCUGUAGGUUCUUAUUGUUUAGCUCCAAACAGGCAGAAAAAAAAAAGACAAAAAUUCACACUUCCUCUCUCUUUAGUAAUUUUUAGCAGCUAAAGUGAGUUGCUCCUGGUCAAUUAGGUUGAUACAAAUUACGUUACUGAUUUGGACAUGUAAAUUCAAUUUUAUAAAUUUAGCAUAUAAAAAUUAAACUGUUAGAUAGAUAGCGUAAUACAAACUUUCAGGGGAGAAGCUCAAGGGAGAAGAAAAAAAAAUUCAGCCUGUUCUAUGUUUCUUCUCUUUUUAAAAGAAAAAUAUUACUUUAGGUAUGUUCUUCUCACUGUCGAAUGAGCUUAUGUCUUGCUAGAUAAAAAAAGACUUACUGGCCGAGGUGGAUUUGUGAUUUGAGAGAAUCUUAGAAAAGUUUUCCAAUUUAUUUCAAGCGUUCAAUUCUCUACAAAAAUUCAAAAAAAAAAAAAGCUAAUUACUUCUAUUUUUAUAAUAAGACAUUUACAUCUAAUUUUUAUAAUGAAAUAAACACAAAAUGCAUGGCAGAAAGAUAAAUAAGAUGUUUUAACAAAUAUAAAAAAUAAGUAAUUAUCGCAUUUAUAAUUUCUUCUACAAAACAAGUUAAAUAAUAUAAAAAUGUAAACAGAAGCAUAGAAGAAAUUCUUUACCUAUUUUUUCUUUGGAGUAUUUAAGAAGUGUUUCAAAGGGUGCAUAAGAAAUUCAAAUAUGAAAUUGGGAGUCUUACAUUUAAUGAAAAUGAAGGAAAAAAAUAAUAUAUAAAAUAAUAUUUAUAAACUUUCUUAAUAUAUAAACAGAGGAGGAAAAACUGAAAAGGCAUUAUAACUUAAUAGCCUCCCCCAAGCUUGAGUGUGUAUGCAGAACAUAUUUUAAAGUCAGACGAUUGAAUGAGCAGAAGAUUAAAGUCAGAGGAACAAAACUCUUGUCCAUUAUGUGUUCUUAUUACUUUGAUGCCUCUGUUAAACUGAUUCUUUAUUAACACAAAAUUAUUCAUCAAGUUUCUAGUCUCACCUUUAUUUUUCAUUGGAUAGAUCCACGUAUGUCUUGUAUAGUCAUCCACGAUAGAGAGAAAAAACCUGUGACCAUACUAAAAGGACCUCAAAUGUAUGUCUAUGUGCACAAGAUAAAAAAUAUCAUUACUGCUAGUCUGACAAAGAGGAAAGGAGAGUCUGUGUUGUUUUGCUAAGUGACAUGGAGCGCAAACAUUAGUACUAUUAAAACAUAUAUCAUCAUAACUUUUGGAUAAUUGUUCAAGAAUCUUAUUUGAGGGGUGUCCCAGUCUACAAUGCCUGAGAUCAAGAGAAUCAACAUGUUUAAAAGUAUCAUCGUUAUGCACAAGAAAUAUAGCAUUUUUCAAGCAGCUAGUCAAAUGGUAAAGGUGGCCUUUGAACAGAUAUAAAUUUAAUGUGAAUUCAGGUAUACUUAGUACUGAUGUAUGGUAAUUUGAUCAGUUAAUUGAACAUCAAUGAAGGCUUAUUUUCGAGGGCUUAUUGUCCUUCGGUAAUGCCUGUGAUGCUUUUUCAUAUGCGCACCACAUCUUCAUUUAGCCUUUCUUUGGAUAUUUCUAAGGGCCUUUUGUCCUUCCGUAAUGCUUGCGAUGCCUCUUUAUAUGUUAGGAUUUAAUAUAUGUUAAGAUUUAAUAUCUUGUUAGGAUUUAAUAUAUGUUAAGAUUUAAUAUCUUGUUAGGUUUUAAGAUCUUGUUUGUUAUUAUUUUUGUUUGUUAUUAUUCUUUGUAUAUUGCUGAUAGAUUAGAUAGUUAUAACUAAUUCUUUUAUAAUCAUAAUGUAUAAAUAUUUGUAUCUGCAUUACGCAGAAUUAAAAUAAUACACAGAUCAUUCUUUGUUUCUCUGUUUUUCCUCUCAGCAUGAUUCUCAUUAUUUAAGAUGGUAUCAGAGCUCUUCAAUUGAAGAGUUCUGCUGUGCCUCUGAUCUUCAUUCGAUGCUUUCUCCUUCUUGAUUUCUUUGUGUUUUUUACCAAACCAACUCAUGGCUGUCAUUGAUCAUUACCACACGAUUGAAAAUUGUUACAAAAAGAAUGACUAUCCAUUAGGAUCUUCAGGAUUCUCCUACAACAAAGGGAUAAGAGGAGGUCGAGGUUAUUCAUCAAAUAAAGGAGGCUUUGGCAGAAGAUCAAAUUCAAGUUCAUACAACUCAAAGAUUUGCACUUUUUGCAAUAUCACUGAACACACUCUUAAUGAAUUUUUUAAGAAGCAUGGUUACCCUCCUAGGCAUAAACUGCACAGACCUGUUAUCACUCCUCAACAAUAUCAACAUUUGAUAACCCUCCUGCAACAACAAACACAAUUGAGAUCCUUUACAACUACUUCCCACAUCAAUCAAACUGGUACAACUUUCUCUCAAAAUACUUCUUUUAUAGGUAAUGUGCUACCAAUUUCUCAUGCUACAGACCAUGCCAUGUGGAUUAUAGAUUCAGGAGCCAGUGAUCAUGUAACUUCUUCCUUACAUUUAUAUUCAUCCUAUAAGGCUAUUGAUCCCAUCACAGUAAAACUACCAAAUGGACAACAAACCAUAGCCUCAUAUUCUGGAAUAGUAAAGAUUAAUGAUUCUUUGUCUAUUUCUAAUGUCCUAUAUCUUCCAUAAUUUAAUUUCAAUCUUAUAUCUGCUUCCAAGCUUACCACAACCCAUAAUUGUCAACUAAUAUUUCUUGAAAAUCAAUGUUUUAUACAAGACAGACACACCAAGAGGAUGAUUGGUAUAAUUGAUGCUCAAGAUGGGUUGUAUACACUCAAGACCUCUUUUAGCUCCACCAACACCACAAUUUGAAAUAAGGAAGCCAUUGAUAUUUGGCAUUACAGAUUAGGCCACCCCUCCCAUGAGAGAUUACGUGUAAUGCAACAAUUAUAUCCUGUGAUUAAUUUUGAUCACACUUUUAUUUGUACUCCUUGUCAUAUGGCUAAACAAAGAAAACCUUCUUUUCCUUAUAGUACUUCUCAAGCUUCUUCUAUUUUUUCUUUAUUACAUGUUGAUAUUUGGGGCCCUUGUGCUACUACUUCCAUUCAUGGUCAUAAAUAUUUUUUAACCAUUGUUGAUGAUUUUUCUAGAUAUGUAUGAGUGUUUCCUUUAAUCUCAAAAGCUAAAACUCAAUCACAUUUACAAUCUUUCACUACCUAUGUUGGAAGACAGUUUAAAACUAAGGUCCUAAGCAUUAGAUCUGACAAUGGAACUGAGUUUAUUAUGGCUGAAUUUUAUAAAAAUACUAGAAUUGUUCAUCAAACAACUUGUGUGGCAACCCCCCAGCAAAAUGGCUUAGUUGAGAGGAAACACCAGCACUUAUUAAAUGUUACCCGCUCCCUCCUUUUUCAAGCACACUUACCAAACAUUUUCUGGGCUUAUGCUCUUAUUCAUGCCUCUACCCUCAUAAAUUGCCUUCCCACUCCUCUCCUAAAUAACCAUUCUCCACACCAAAAAGUAUACAGUUCUCCUUUUGAUAUUACCACUCUUAAACUUGAUCCAAGAGCCUUACCCGCUAUUUUCCUUGGCUAUAAACCACACAAAAAAGGCUUCAUCACCUUCAACCUCAAAAUCAGGGCCAUUGAGAUUUCUAGAAAUGUUGUCUUUCAUGAAAGUUGUUUUCCCUACCACAAUGAGUCAUACACCACUCCUAAUUCCCACCUUGUCACCCACCCACCUUUGCUCUAUAUUGACCAAUGUAUGCCUAGUUCUCAUACAGAUACUUCGCAUCCUUCUCCACCCGGUUCACCUCCCACCCUACCUGAUCAAUGUAUGCCCACAUCUCAUACAGAUACUUCGCAUCCUUCUCCACCCAGUUCACCUCCUACACUACCUGCUCCUAAUAUUAGAAGAUCCACCCGACAGAAAUACAGACCUUCAAGACUAUCUGAAUUUGAAAUGUCUUAUGCAUCAACUAUUACCUCUUAUUCUUUAGGUAUCAAACAUCCUCUUGCUUUUGUCAUUUCAUAUAAGAAACUUGCAGCACCUUACUAUAGAUUUAUUAUGCAAAUCUCUACUAACAUUGAGCCUAGAUCUUAUUCUGAGGUAUCCAAGUAUCCUCACUGGGUUAGAGCCAUGGAUGACGAGCUUGCUGCAUUGGCCCAAAAUGACACUUGGAAAAUCACAGAUUUACCUGCUGACAAAACUGUAGUAGGCUGCAAAUGGGUUUUCAAAAUCAAAGACAAGGCUGAUGGAAGCAUUGAAAGAUAUAAAGCUAGAUUGGUAGCCAAGGGUUACACUCAAAUUGAAGGUUAAGACUAUCUAGAUACCUUUUCUCCUGUGGUUAAAAUCACAACGGUUAGACUUGUUAUAGUUCUUGCGGCAGCACAUAAUUGACAUCUUAAGAAACUACAUGUUAAUAAUGUUUUUCUUCAUGGUACAUUAAAUGAAGAAGUUUAUAUGAUACCUCCUCCAAGGCUCAACUUUAUCAAACCAAAUCAAGUAUGCAAGUUACAAAAAUCACUUUAUGAUCUUAAACAAGCAGGUAGACAGUGGUAUGCUCGUUUAUCUGAUUUCCUCUUGUCUAAUGGCUUUCUCCAAUCUCCAUCUGAUCAUUCCUUGUUCACAAAACAUUUUGAUUCCAAUGUCACUAUUUUAGUGAUUUAUGUUGAUGAUAUAGUACUCAUAGGCAAUGAUCUAACAGAUCACUCAUAUUACUCAUCUUCUUGACGCAACAUUUAAGAUUAAAGAUCUUGACAAUCUUAAAUUCUUUCUUGGUCUUGAAGUGGCUAGAAAGAAAGAAGGUAUUUGCAUUUCCCAGAGACAAUAUACUCUGGACAUUCUCAAAGAUGAAGCAUACUUAAACUCUAAGCCCGUUUCCACUCCUUGUGAUUACCGUACAAAGCUCAGCACAAAUUCUGGCCAACCUCUAAAUGAUGCAGCUUCAUCUUCUUAUAGAUGAUUAGUUGGUAGAUUAUUAUAUCUCACCAACAUUAGACCAGAUAUUUCAUUUGCAGUACAACAACUAAGUCAGUUUCUCUCAAAUCCUAGCACAAAUCAUCAACAAGCAGCUUCCAGGAUUCUUAGAUACCUUAAAGGUGCCUCUGGAAAAGGGAUUUUCUUUCCCAGCGAUAACAUUACAGUUGAAAGGCUUUAGCAAUUCUGAUUGGGCAGGCUGCAUUGAUACCAGACGAAGUAUCACUGGUUACUCUAUCUAUCUUAGUUCUUCAAUUAUUUCAUGGAAAUCGAAGAAACAUGCCACUGUAUCCAAAAGUUCCUCAGAAGCUGAAUACAGAGCUCUUGCCACAGCUACUUGUGAAAUUCAAUGGUUAACUUUUCUUCUACAGGAUCUUCACAUAACUUUUCAACAACCAGCAGUCUUGUUUUGUGAUAACACAUCUGCCCUUCAUAUUGCUGCAAAUCCAGUUUUCCAUGAACGCACAAAACACAUUGAAAUAGAUUGUCAUAUUGUAAGGGAAAAGCUUUCUUCUAGCUUACCUAAACUACUGCCAAUUCCUUUUGCAUGUCAGUUAGCUGAUAUUACUCCAAAGGACUUUCUCCAGCAGCUUUCAAAUUUCUGGUUUCCAAGUUGGGAAUGAUUGACAUUCAUUCUCCAGCUUGAGGGGGACUGUUAGGAUUUAAUAUAUGUUAAGAUUUAAUAUCUUGUUAGGAUUUAAUAUAUGUUAAGAUUUAAUAUCUUGUUUGGUUUUAAGAUCUUGUUUGUUAUUAUUUUUGUUUGUUAUUAUUCUUUGUAUACUGCUGAUAGAUUAGAUAGAGUUAUAACUAAUUCCGUUAUAAUCUUGAUGUAUAAAUAUUUGUAUCUGCAUUAUGCAGAAUUAAGAUAAUACACAAAUCAUUCUUUGCUUCUUUUUUUUCCUCUCGGCAUAAUUCUUAUUAUUUAAGACUAUAUGCGAACCACCUCUUCAUUUAGCCAUUCUCUGGAGAGAUCCACCCGCACACAUUUCUUUUUCUCACGAACCUUCGCUCGUCUCCGAUCCAUAUUUCGAGCUCCUCCGCCUCAGAUCUUAAUAUGCCAGCCACGGUUAGUCUCUAGAUCUUCACUUUCCUGUACAUUUCUCCCUUACCUAUCCUCUCUGUUCUAUCUUCACUUUUGCUUGAUUAAAACCUCUUUUUGUUCCAUUCCAUCGAUUCAAUCGUUGAAUCCAUUCGCUCCACCAAUCAAAACGUCCCAAAUCCCCAACUCUAGAAUGUAUACCGAUCAAACCAUUCAAUCUAGGGUUUGCCUCCGUUGUCCGUCAUUCGUUGUUCUUCUUCUUCGAUUAGCUCGAUCUGUGUCAAUUUCCAUGGUUCCUCGUCGAUCCGCCUCGACCUGGAGCUAUCAAGUGGUAUUUAGAGCCUAAGUUAGGCGUGUAUGCACGAAGCUAAGUAUUUUCUUUGCCUUUCCAAGUUGUCUUCGAUUAAUUGUCUUGAUCUGUUUUGGUCUUGUAUUGAAACUUUAGCACAUGGAUUGAAAAAUACAAUUUUUUUUCUUAUUAUCAUCAAUACCCUGUAUGAAAUGUCUAUUGUGCUCAUGUGAAAACAAUAAGUUUCUACAUUAGAUUGCUUUACAUUAUUUUAUGCUUUUUGAUAUUUAUGUUCAAUUUUGGCGUGUUGAGGGCGUUGUAGUGAAAUGGUGUUGGCUGAUGCGUAGUGGUCAAUUGCCACAACAAAAGGUCAUGUUUUGGCUGGUGCGUACUUCAUCUUGGGUAGAGCUGUCAAAACGGGUAACCCGGCUCGACCCGGCCCGGCCCACCACGGAUUGGUCACUUAGUGGGUAAGUGGGUUGGCUCACUGGCCCACUUAAUUACAAUUCUUUUUAAAUAAAAAAAAAUUACAAACUUUCUAUAAUUCAAAUCUAAACAAAUUUCACUCCCAAAUUUCACUUCCAACAUGGAUGUUUAACUAAUUUUGAAAAUAUGGAACUUAAAUAAUUUUCUCAAGCAAAAAAAAAUAUUUUUUAUAAAAUUAAAAUUAAAUUUUAAUAAAAUAAAAUUAGGUAAGCGGGUUGGUGCGCCAACCCGGCCCACCACGGGUUCAACCCGCAUGAGUUGGGUUUAAAUGAGCCGGGUUGAAAUCUGACCCGCAUAAAAAAAAUAUAAUUUUUUCAAACCCAACCCGGGCCGAACCCGUGACAGGCCGGGUUGGCCCGCGGGUUGUGACUCAUUUUGACAGCUCUAAUCUUGGGUAUGCAAGCUUUAGGAGUGAGUAAACGUUAUUUGAUGAGAUGAUUCUAGUAUAUGAUAUUAUAAAGUGCAUUUGUACUUGUCGUGGUGCCUCGUUAACAUAUUAAGGGUGUCUCUAUUGUGAAUCCUUCCUGUCUAUUCUCUUGAAUCCUUCUGGUGGUUAUUUAAGGGUUAAUAGUUUAUGUAUUUAUGGAUUAAAGUUGACUGAAAUUAACUAGAUGCUAUCUUGGGAAUUUUUUUGGAGACUGGUACAAUUUUGAUAUGUGACUGAUUUUUUUUUCCUGUGUUUCUUAGAGAUAAGAAAUAUAAAAGUGGAUAUGUGUACUCUGUUCUACAUGUGUAGUGAUGAUAAAAUCUGGAAUGAUUGGGUUAAAUCGUGUAAAAAGAGUGUUUUUUUUCUACACACUUUGAUGGUUAACUUCUUGUGGCUACUUUGCUUAUACAAAGAAACAAUUUUAUUUGUUGAAGGGUGUUUUAUUUGCUUGUUCAAGGAAACACUUUGAUUUUUAUGGUUAACUUCUUUUCUCGUGGCUACUGUGAUGCAUUGAAACACAAGAAUUGAAACAACCUUUGGAAUGGUUGAGACUGGGAGAGGUGUCUUUGUUUAGCCUAGUGAUAACCAAUUUCACCCAUUAUUUGCAUUGAUGAUGUUACUGCUUUGGAGAUUGUUUUCUUUCAACAGCUGCUAUAUAUAUAUUUUUUAUAUAAAAAAAAUGAAUGUUAUUGUUUCGGUGUAAAUUUUGUGGGACCGAGACACUAACCUGGAUGUCGUGGCUUUCCUGCUUUCGGGCGCUUGGAUUGACCGGGUCGCUCGUUCUUCCUGGGUCUCGACCGCUUGGUCUCCUUAAGGCUGGACCGUUCGGUGGAUUUUGAUCUUUGACCGAAGGGGGGAGGUACCUGCAAUGGCACUCCGAUGCCCAAGUUAGGCGAGUGGUGAAUGAACCUUGGUUCUUGAGUUGACGAUUCUCAGUAUGAGAAUAGAUAAUAGGGUUUCUGAGUGAUUAUAGCGUAAGUAGAGUAUGUGUAAAGCGUACAUGGCUUGUGUCCUUGGCUUUCUAUUUAUAAUUUGUCUCAUGAACCUUGAACUGACAUAAGCCCAAUAAAAUAUAAACAGAAUAAAAUAUAAACAAACUUGUUUGGUUACUCAUAAACAGCCUUAUCAGUAUCUUUAAUCAGAUAUUAUUUUAUUCUUAAUAUUUUUAAUAAGAUAUCUUUGAUUCUGGUGGACUACAAGCCCAAUAAUGAGAGUUGGCCCAAUUAUGGCCCAACAUAGUCAUGAUGUUGUAUAUAACCGAUCAGUUAUUAUUUAUAACCGAUCGUCCCAGAUAUCAUACCGUACAUCAUCCCCCCAAGUCCGAGUUAAGCGUUAGGCUUUAGCCCUGGUUAACUGUAGGACUUAUGAGUUUGAGGGAGGUUGGAUUCGUUGUGCGUAGAGAGCGUUUUCCUAGUUGAUGGUGGUUAAUGGUUAUCCCGCUCAGUUUUACUGCCCAGGGUUGUUGAAUGACUGGAGCGAAAGUCCGUUUGAUGUUUAAUAUUGAGGUGUGCUAGAUGACGGGAAAGACCGAUGCGUUUGGUAUUUAAUAGGUCAGCUUAGAAUUGAAAAGUGGUUAUCAUACGACGUGUGCGUGUUGCCGUCUUGCAUUUUAGUUAUGACUGAUGUUUUCCCGCCUUUGGGGUAGUGACAAAGUCGUCAAAACGGAGCCGUUAGAUCAUUUUUAUCCAACGAUGUAGAUUGUGUGACGGUUGCAUCAGUUUCCUUUCAUUAAUGAGAUAGGUUUUCGCAGACGAACUCAACCGUCAUUUCUGCUUUUGUGUUUUCUCGAGAACUUUUGAACUUCCUCUUCUUCUAGCCGCAAGUUGCGUCCAAGCUUUGCUCUUUUUUCCAGGUAACCAUGGCUUCCUCUUCGCAUUUAGAUUGUUCAUUGUCACAGAGUGAGGAAAGAGGGCAUGAGGGCUCGACUGAUGUAUCUGGGGACGCUCAGACUGAAAAGUUUUCAUCGGUGCUUAACGGGGGAAAAGUUUUUGUUUGCGGUGGGGUUACCGUUGAAGUCCUCGAAAACUCCUGCUCUUCAUCGUGCUUAGAUUAUGGGUGGGCCUCCUGCGACAUAGGUGAUUAUUCAAGUCUUUUUGUUAGUAGACCUGUUCUGUUAGAUUGGGCGAAUAAUAGUUGUGUUCUUAGAGCCUUAAGUUACAACUCUGCUAUUAAGUUGAUUGCCUGUAGAGGGGAUGAAAGGGUUUUCCAUGGCAAAGAUACUGUUGGCGAGGAUUUUUUCUAUUUUUAUUCAUGCUUGUUUUUUGAUAUGUACAUUAGGUUACCUUUUACUGGGUUUCAGAUGGAUGUUUUGUGGGUCCUGAAUGUAGCUCCCUCUCAGUUGCACCAGAACAAUUGGGGUUACAUUCAGGUGUUCGCUGUCUUGUAUCAGACCUUGGGUAUUUAGCCAACAGUCAAAUUGUUCCUUUAUUUUUUUAGGACGCGCCCCAACGCCAAGAGGGAUUGGGUGUCUUUCAGUUUCGAGCCUAAGAAUGCUUACAAUUAUAUUAUAGCAUCACUAUACAAGUGCCAGUUUCUGUGGACUUUAUUUAUGCUAAAACAUAAAGUGUUGUAUGAUUCAUGUCGUGAAAUCUCAGUAAGUGGGAAAGUGCUUUUGUUUCUGUCAAGCUUUAAUAAUGAUAACUUGUGUAAUCAUGUUUCUUAUUAUAUAUGAUACUUUUUGGACACCUAAAACAGGUCGGAUGCUAGGUGGAAAAUUAUCUAGGUCUCCUGGUGGGCUUCCUCCACAAUCACCUAUUGCUCAAUGGGACAACAUCAUCAAAUUUUUGGAUUCACUCAUGAGCAGAAUGCGUGUAAAUCAUGUAUGCUAUUUAGUCAAUAAAUAGUUUAACUAGUUCUUCAAAAUACUGGUUUCAUUUUAGAAAUGUCUAUAACAUGUUUUAAUAAAUAGUUUUACUUAGUUUCUAAUUGUAGAUGUUACUAUUGCAAAUGAAUAUUAUUGAACUUAAAUAUUCUCAUUUAAUUUUACUUUAUGAGUUUUGAAUGUUAGUGUUGUAACUUAUAAGUUUUGGAAUUUAAAAGGGUUUUUUAUUCUAUAAUGUUGUUUUCAAUUGAUAAUUUUUUAAUAUAAUGCGGUAACUUUGAAAAAAUAUUUUUUAUUUUACUAGUUCAAUCACAGUUAGCUCAUUUAUUAUUGAACCGGUGCACUUACCUGUUUAAUGACCAGUUUGGUUUCCAAAAUAUUGACAAUCUUGUUCCUAUUGUUCCUAUUGUUGUUACUGCAUCAUCCUUAGUUCUGGAGGUUUUCUUGUUCUCUUUUUGUAUAUUACUUUUCCAAGUUUAUAAAGGCUUUACUUGUCCAAAAAUUUAAUCAUGUUUCAAUAAAAAUUGCAUGAAAUGGGGAUGUACAGUGAGCUUGCUAUUACUACGUGAUUUUAUUUUUAAGGUUUAAUCAUAUUUAUACUUUAUGUCUUUGUUUCGUGUUUUAUCCUUUGUUCUAAUCCGCUUGGAUCUUUGUGGGUUCUUAUGCAUGUGUGAGCAGCCAAUGAUAUAUGGUAGGGGUCCAAUGCCAACAGGAAUGCAAAUGGUUCCAAUGGUGUUACCAGACGGUCGAAUUGGCUAUGUCGGCUAUGUCUUGUAAGUUUCUGCGAAUUCAUUUUUACAUAAAUUUUAUCAUAUGAAAAUACUAAUAAGAAUGCUUUUUAAAUUUAAAUCAUACUAUAAAUUAAUAUAGUAUAUUAUUUAGUAUUGUCAAUAUAAUUUAAAAUUGCAUUGGCAAUUAUGCAUAAUAGUAAUUUAACACAGUAAUAGAAAAAAUUUGUAACCCAAUAUGUUUUUUAAAUUAUUGGCAUUUGUAUAAAAAUUAUAUAUGUAUCAUCAUCAUUACUAUAAAAUGUUCUAUACAUAAUUUUACUAUCAAUUUUAUUUCUAUUUCGUGUGUAAUUUUUAAUCAUUGUUGUCCAAGUUUUUUAAUUUGAAUCAUAAGUUUAUAUUCUAAGCUAUGGAGUAAUGUUUAUUUAGUUUUAUUACACUGAAUUGUAAAAAUUGGAAAAAAUAAUUGAUUUUGAUAAUGGUGAUAUGGUGCAGACAACAACCUAGUGUACAAGCGCCACGCAGCCGACCUCGCAGAAGUGAUUGGAGUAAUGGUCCAAGUGGGCAGCCAGGACGAGGAGGUGAUAGUGGCAAUGAUGAAGGCAAUCGUAGUAGAAGGCAUUGUCUUUGAGUUGUUUUCUUAUUUAGAAGUAUAAUUUAAAUGUUUUUCCUCUGUAUGUGUUGUAUUGUUGUGGCAGCAAGUAUCUUAUGUAAAAGACUACGAACAUAUUAUGUAGUAUCAUUUGAUAUUUCCUUUUCGAUUGUCCUUCUCCAGUACAAAUAUUAGUGGUUAGUUUGACUUCAUGUCAUGAAAAAUUUCAUAAUCUAAACUAGUGGAGUGAAACUUCUUUGUCCUCCGAUAAUUACCGACGGCCUUUGUCCUUCGGUAAUUACCGAAGGUUUUUGCCCUUUGGUAAUUACCGAAGGGUAAAGGCCGUCGGUAAUGGUUAGCGACAAAUGAUUUACUGACAGCUUUUUGACCAUCGGUAAGUCGUCGGUAAUAGGUCAUUACCGACAACUUCUGGAUGUUUCCGAGAGAUUCUGGCCUUUGGUAACGCCCUUAUUCAGAAGAGUCUUGAUAUUUUGACACCAAAAUUUUGACACUUUUUUUACACUGCCAAGUGUCACAAUUUGAUUGGUUUGUUUUUAAAUGUUGUUUUGAAUUAAAAUUUGACGUCAAGUUUAAGGGAGGUUUGAGAAAUGUGUGCUUCCAAAAAUGCCCUUGUUCUGUUCCAUUUGAAAUGAACCUUCUCUCUCCUGUUUCAGAAGUAUGGGUUUCGUUCUCCCGUUCGCUCUCGCUCUUCAUUUUGGUUGACCCUCUCACUCUCGCUGUCGGUGUGGGUGUCGCUCUCGUUAUCGAUGUUUGUUGCACGUGUUCCUUUAAAGCAACGUCGUUGACUUUCUUGAGUUUAUUGUGCGGAAUGACAAGUUUCGAUAAGCAUGGUUCUUCAAGUAAAAAGGUUCUUCCUCCAUUUAGUUGUUGUUUUAUAUUUUUAUGUUUUUUUUUAGGGUAUUUAUGUUUUGGUUAUUUUGUUUGUGGUUGAUGCAGUUGACUGUUCGUCGCUCAUUUUGAACAAAGUAUAUUUCUACUUUGAAGGAAUUCUUGACAAAGGAGCACCGGUCACGAAGACGUAUGUGAGGAUGGGGUCACGAAGGCAUUACAAGAGCAGAUCGCUUAGGACUCCUUAUACUGGAUUGCUAAGAAUAAAAAAUGAGUGAUAUUUGUAUACGUUUCUUCAGAGAAUGUAAAAUAGAAUUAGUAUUAUGAACAAAUGUUUUGUAAUUUGGAUUGUAUCAUUUUCAAUGUUAUAAAAGAUGCAUUUGAUGUAGUAUUACUGUUAAAUGAAUUGCCUUUGUUAUUACUGUUAAAUGAAUUACCUCUGUUAUUGUGAUUGGCAAAUUGAGGUUUUGUUUGAAUUGUUAAGGAAUAAAGUUGGCAAUUUGAUGUACUAUUGAUGUAUUUAAUGGAGGAAUGAAACAAUGCAGUUGGAAUUUUUGGUAUUUUUUUCAAAUACGUAUUUCUUUUGGUCUGAUUUUGUUGUUAAGGAGUCAUUUUAGUGUGGUUGUUCAUGUUUGGGUACCCCAAGUUGGACAUAGGAAACAAUAACGUUGAGUAGAGGAACUUAGUUGAACUCCUGAAAGUUCUGUAGUUAAAAAUGCACUGGUAAACGAUUACGUGAACAUAUUAUGUGAUUUGUACAGAAAGUUGUACUGCUGGAGCCAGUUCUGGUAACCUAGGGGACCAUAGUCUAAAUUUUUGUAGUUUUUUCAUAAAUGCAAUUAUUUUUGUGUGAUUUUGUUGUUUAAGUGUGAUUUUAUAAUGUGGGAAAUCAAGUUUGGGCACCCCAUGUUCGAGAUAAGAAUCAAAUUUUUUUCAUUUGAACAAGUUAGUUGAAGUUUUGCAGCCAGUUCUGGUAACCUAGGGGUCCAUAGUCUAAAUUUUUGUAUUUUUUGCAUAAACGCAAUGGUUUUUGUGUGAUUUUAAGUGUGAUUUUAGUGUGGAAAAUCAAGUUUGGGCUCCCCAUGUUCGAGAUAAGACACAUUUUUUUUCAUUUGAACAAGUUAAUUGAGGUUUUGCAAGGUCUAGAGCAAAAAACAAAGUUGUAAUCGUUUACAAGACCUUGGUAAACGAUUACACGAACAAAAUCCUGGAUUUGUACAGAAAGUUGUACUACAGGAGCUAGUUCUAGUUACCUAGGGGACCAUAAUAUAAAUUUUGUAUUUUUUGCAUAAACGCAAUGGUUUUUGUGUGAUUUUGUUGUUUAAGUGUGAUUUUAGUGUGGGAAAUCAAGUUUGGGCACCCCAUGUUUGAGAUAAGAAACAAUUUUUUUCAUUUGAACAAGCUACUUGGAGUUUUGCAAGGUCUAGAGCGAAAAACAAAGCUGUAAACGUUUACAAGACCUUGGUAAACGAUUACACGAACAAAAUCCUGGAUUUGUACAGAAAGUUGUACUACAAGAGCCAGUUCUGGUAACCUAGGAGACCAUAGUCUAAAUUUUUGUAUUUUUUGCAUAAAUGCAAUGGUUUUUGUGUGAUUUUGUUGUUUAACUGUGAUUUUAGUGUGGAAAAUCAAGUUUGGACACCCCAUGUUCGAGAUAAGAAACCAUUUUUUUCAUUUGAACAAGUUAGUUGAAGUUUUACAAGGUUUAGAGCAAAAAACAAAGUUGUAAUCGUUUACAAGACCUUGGUAAACGAUUACACGAACAAAAUCCUGGAUUUGUACAGAAAGUUGUACUGCAGGAGCCAGUUCUGGUAACCUAGGGGACCAUGGUCUAAAUUUUUGUAUUUUUUGCAUAAACGCAAUAGUUUUUGUGUGAUUUUGUUGUUUAAGUGUGAUUUUAGUGUGGGAAAUCAAGUUUGGGCACCCCAUGUUCGAGAUAAGAAAUAUUUUUUUCAUUUGAACAAGUUAGUUAAAGUCCUUCAAGGUCUGGAACAAGUUAGUCUAAAUUUUUUCAUUUGAAUAAGUUAGUUUGGUCUAGACUCAGACCUUACAAAUUUUUGGACAUUUAUACUAUGGUUGAAACUUAUUUUUAGUGUUUCAGUGUGAGCAGAGGCUAGGAAGUCAUGUUUGGGCAAUCCAUGAAAGUUAACAUUAUAUUGCAAUAAGAAUCUGUACAUAAAUAUCAUUGUUUCUUACAAAGACAAAAAUCCAUCUUUGCCUACAUACAAAGAAAAACUCUACAAAUAAAAUCAAUCCUAUAACAAUCCAAAUUUCUGUCGUGCUUCCAUUCUUCUAAUGUUGUUGUUGUCAAGGAUCCAGUCGCAUACAUAUUUCUUUACUUGAUCAAUGUCAAAAGGCACAACCUUCAAAACCUUUACUCGGUCAUGGAGUGCGGGAAAGAUAGUGUGGGAAGACGAAAAGCUCCAACCUUCGAAAAGCACCAACCUUCGAAAAGUUCCAACCUUUGAAAAGUCUCAACCUUUGAAAAGCCCCAACCUUACAAAAUCAUCAACCUUCGACGAGCAACAAUGGUGAAUGCCAAAGAGACAAACAAAAAAAGGAAGAUGAGAGCGGAACAUGAGAAAGAGUUCAAGGAAAACCUUGAAAAACAAUGCGAGAGACCCGCAACAAUGCUCAGGCAAAUGAGAGAGACAAAGAACUCAGAGAACACGAGAGGGAUAAUGGUAAUGAGAGAACGAGAGAGAGUGAUACGAGAAACGCGAGAGAGACUGGCAAUGAGAGAGAUUGAUACGAGAGUGAAGAGCAAAUGGGUGCGAAUGAAAGAAACCGCGAAACGAAAUUUCAUUUUUUUCCACCUUCCAAAUAUGCCCCUGCCUAAUUAUUAAAACCUCAUGUCUUUCUUUUCAAAUUCCGCCAAUUGAGAAACGACAUGUGGCAAUGUCAAAAGAGUGUCAAAAGUUUGGUGUCAAAGAAGUGUUUUCGUAUUGGAAAAACUAAUAUGUAUAGGUUUGAUCUCAUAAUGACUCAUGGACAAUAAUAUUGAGUCCGUAACACAGUAUAAAGGAUUCAAGAUUUUAUACCUUCUUUACCUUUUUCAAUUUGGUGAGUUGAGUGCUCACUGAAUGUGCUGUUGACAACUUUUUUAGGAUGUACAUUUCUUUUUGAUUGAGUUAUGCCAACAAUUUGUUGUAUUUGCUUCGUAGUCAAGUUUUUAUGGAUUUGUUCACAAGUGGAUUGCCCUUCAGUGACCGGUUCAGUUUUGUUCUUCAGAGCGUUUAAUGAGUAAUUUUAUCUUUGCUUCGUCCAAUGAGGGAACCCAUGCUUUGAAUAGCAUUCGUCUUCAGUGUGGUUCAUCUUUAUACAAUAUGAACAUUGCUUGCCAUAGUUCUUUCUUCUUCCUCUUCCAUAACUCUUCCACUCUGUGGUAUUUCCACUUCUGUAAUUCUUCUGAGUUUGAAUGACGUUGUUCACCAUCACUUUCUCUGUACCAUUACUAUCAUUUAGUUGUCUUUUUUGUUGGAGAACCAAAGGAAAAACACGAUUAAUACUUGGUAAUGGCUCCAUAAGCAAGAAUUGAGUUUUAACAGUGUUGUAGAUUCACCUAAGGCUUUUUAGGAAACACAUUAUGCGCUCAGAAUCUUUUUAGUCUGUAAUAAUCUUACUGAUAUUGUAGCUACAUCUCACGUGACAAACACAAGCUGGAAUAGUACUAAGAAAAUUCAGCUCUUCUCAUAAAAUCUCGGAGUUUGUGUAGUAUUUUGCAACCGUUCGUUCUCCCCGUUUUAUGGAAUUAAUUUCUUGGAGGAGAUGAGAAGUUAAUGUAUGUUAUUAUGCGUUUUUAGCGUAUGAUCCCUCUCCAACGUCAUAUUGGGUGAUGUCAAUAAGGCAUCGACUCCUUCAAAGGACAUCGGAUGUUCCCCAUCAGACGUCAUAUGAGACGUCAGAUUUAAGCACGUCAAACGUCAUAUGAGAUGUUGUGUAUAAGCCAUCUAACGUCUAUCAACGCUGAGCGCCACUGGCUCGUGCUGAGUGAGAAAAAUUCUAGAGUGCCACUAGAAACCUUUUGACGUCUGUCAGUGCACUGACAUACGUCAAUAGACAUCGGACAUAACCAUAACUAACGUUUACUGGGUGUUUUUUUUUAAAUUAAUUUAUUUUUGCAAUAAAACCACACCUAAAAAAUAUAUGAUUAUCACAGAACAUCAUAAUAUAAUAUAUUUUAUGCGUUUGAAGUUAAAAAGAUAAUAAACAAUCUAAAAAACAAUCCAAAACUUAAACAAUCAAAACUUAAACUUAAACUAAAGCUAAUUAAUGUUCAACAACAAUAAAAGUCUUCCUAAAGGCAUGGGCAUGGGUCUUAAGUCCAUCUCGAAGAAGAUAAGUUGCCCACUCUUGUUUUAUCUUUUUAAUUGUGUCCUCUAGUAUAAGAGAUGUAUUCUUGAAUCACUGUAAAAUGAAGUUGAUUUCAUAAUGUUUGCAUAUGUUCAAAGAUGAAUUUCAUUUGUAAUGUAUUGAAGGUAAGCAUCAUUACCUCAAUGCAGUCAUCUGUAAUAUCAGGUCGAAUGAUGGUUUUAAUCCAAGACAUGACAUAGUAGCCACAUUACCAUGAAUUUAGCUGUUUGUUACACUAAAAUGACAAACUAAAAAGUCAAUUAUUUGGAUCAUUCAAUAACAUAGAAAAUGAAUAAGAACUAUAAAUGACUUAUAACUUUUGGAUACAAGAUUUGAAUUAGCUUACCUCGGGGUUUACCCAUAACUUUAUUUACAUUAAAAACACAAGGUAAUAUUAAUAUAACUAUAUUCUUCAUAAAAAUUGAAGGUCAACAUGAAUUUGAAACAUAAAAAGAGAAACACUUACCCUUGAAGCAAUGUUUUCAAGUCAUUUUUCAUCCUCCUGUGCAGCGAACAAAACCAUAGAAUUUUGCAUUGUCUAGGAAUGACAACCAUCAGCUGCCAAUGAGACCUAUCAUGAAUCAUAAAUAAUUAGUAAACUAAUUAAGUAAGUUUUAAUGAAAUUUUACAUUUUGCAGCACAUACCCAUCAAUGUAUGGCAUAAGGUAUACGUCUCUAUUUAAUCGAUUACAUCUGGUAAUUGAUUACAACAAGGUUGUAAUCGAUUGCCAGGGUCAUUUUUGUGUAAACACUCUAGUAAUCGCUUACAAGGGAGUUUUUGUCCACUGAACCUGCUAGUAAUUGAUUACAACAAGGGUGUAAUCAAUUACCAAAGUCAUUUUUUCCUACAAAGGUGAAGUCGUGUAGGAGGGCACGACUUUAGCACGUUGUAAUUGAUUACAGAGCUUGGUAAUCGAUUACAACGCCAUGAAGUUGUUUUUGGGGUGCACGACUUCAAGACUGUUCAAAUGAACAGUGUGAAGUCGUGCAGGGGGCACGACUUCUUCCUUAGAAGUCGUCUAGGCCCCCCACGACUUCCCUUUGACCACAAAUUUGCUCAUUUACUAAUAUGGGAGGCAAAUUUGCCUAGUUUCGUACAAAAAUCCAUGUUUAUCUGAUGAUAGUUGGGCUAGUUUUACUCAACUUUUGGAGCAGUAUUAGGCACCUACCUACAUGUUAACUAGCACUUUGGGCAGAAUGUGAUGUAAGUCAUGUAGCAUAAGUUUUAGAACUAGACAUACUCCUUGUGCGAGUUAUUCAUAUGCAUAACUCUAAUGUUUUAUUGCAACUAUAUUUGUGUAUUCUAUUUGCUCGUUUGUGCCGUGGCAUAGUUAAAUAGAAGUCAAUUGCUUAGGUAACUGCGAUCAGAAUAUAGGAUUUAAGAAAUAUGGUUUGACCAAUGUUAACUAUUUAAUGUGAUUUUUGGUUUUGAUAGUUAUGGUUAUUAUAUUUGAACGAAAAUUUUUGACCACCCUUUUAAACUCUUAUUAUAGGAGAAAAAUCAUAGGAGUCCUUAUUUUGGGUGCAUCUGAAGUUUUUUUUUUUUUUUUGGAUUGUGAUCUUAAAAUGAUCCUAACUUUCACUCAGGUUAUUAGUUUUUGCAUUACUAUAUAUAGAUUUGGGGUAGAAAAAUAUUUUGAUACAGUGGUAGCUCGCAUAGCCAGCUAAUCCUUCUAGAUUUUCCAGAAAACAUUGUUUUCAUAUUUUUCAAAAAUUUAUUUUGUUUUGUUUUUUCAAACUUUGCACAAAUAUUUAAAAUAGUUAGACUUUGAAUUUUGAGCUGAAAUUUUGUGUGAAGGGUUUUCAUGAUUUUUUGGUCUUUCCAACAAAUUUUAAAGUCAUUUAAAGUUCGUUUGAGCAUACUAUCAGUUUUACUUACACCUAUGUUUUGAUGUGUAUGGUGUAUGAAGAACAAACAACCAAAUGAAAACAUGAAAAACCUAAAAUGAAAUUAACCUUGAAGGUGAGUUUGGUGCUGAAAUGAAACGAAAUGAGCAUCACAAAGCGCCUAUCUAAAGAGCACCUGUGCACAAAAUUAAUCGAUCAAAACGAAAGAAAAUCAUACCUAAGAACUUAAUCAGCCUAAAAUUAAAGAAAAAAAAUGGAAGAAAUGUUAAGGAUGAGGUCGCGAAAAUGGAAGACGAGAGAGCGACGCGGCAUAGCAAAGAAAAUGAUGUUUCUGUCUGAAAUGUACAAGAGGCUUUGUUCACGAAAUUUAACCUUAGAAACAUAUUAUUACCUCGAUUAUUUUAUUAACCAAGACAAUAAGGGUUCUAUGGCCUCAGUUUUAUUAAGAAUCGCUACCUAAAGCCUCUAAAAAAAUAUUUUCAGUUAUUUUAUGCUUCGAUUCGCGGCAUAACCGAAGUAUAAGUACUAUAUGGCCUUAAUUCUCUAAACAACUGAGGUUAUAGACUCCUUUAAGCUUCGGUUCUUUCUAAACCGAGACAUAUGUAUUUGCGAUAAUUGCAAAAAUGUCACUGCACCAUUUUAUGUUUCGGUUGCAACAAAACCAAUGUCAAAUGCGUAAGUUAAUAUUCAUAUUUUUUUACUAGUGAGAAAACGAAACAGUAAAGACAUGGUGGCAAUUUUAAAAAUUUUGUGAAUUUAUAAAUCUCGAUUGCACUACAUACAAAAUCAUAUACUUCUUUUGACUUGAUUAUUAUAGAAACGACUUCGAAAGGUGUGUGAAACUUUAAAAAACUUUCAAAAUUCUUAUUAUUUAUUUUUAAUUAUUUUAUCUAAAAGAAGAGAUUUGGCUUCGAUUCUCAAAUAAUCAAAGCCAUAUAUUCUUUUCUACUUCAGUUUCAGUUAAGAUGCACAAAGAUUUUCAAAAUUUCUGCUAUUUAUUUAAUUAUUUUAUAUGAAAGAGGAGAUUUGACUUCGAUUCUCAAAUAACCAAAGACAUUUCUUUUGCUUUGGUUUAUGAGCAAUUGAAGUUGAAAGGUAUGUAAAAAUUUCAAAAUUUUAAGGGUAUUUGACUUCGGUUCUUCUACAAACUAAGGUCAAAUACCCUGUUCUAUCUCGGUUCUUAUACGAAAUAAAGUCAUACAUAAUUUUUUCCUUCGGUUAUUAAAUAACUGAGGUCAAAAGGUGUGCACAUUUUCAAAAAAUUUCAAAAUUUUGAAGGUAUUUCUCAUACAGAAUCCCUUAUUUAUUUAUGUCAAACAUUUUUGUGUCUACUUCAUGAAAACUUUAAGUUUCAACAUUUUAUUUUGAUUGAAAUAUUAUGUAGAAAAUUGGAAGAUUGAAGAAUAUUGUAAAAUGUUUUUUAGGACUUUUUCGUUUGGUAAGAAAUUCUCUCACCUAACUCGCUCAACGAGACAUCAACUCAUUCGCCUAGCACUCAAUGGGUAAAGAAAGUCUUAUGUGAGACGAAAGCAACCUCUAGUCCAAGUUAGGCUAGUCUAACAAGAACUUUCUUUUUAAUAAAUAUUUGAAAGUCAAUCUUUACACAAAAAGAAAGUUUUUGGAGAGGGAACUUAAUCCGAGAUCAAAUGACAUGUAGAGAUGGAAAUGGGAGCUUAAAAUCACUUCGUCUUCAUUCUUACCACUUUCUUUUUUGUAUUUUUUUGUACUCCUCUUAUGUAGGAGUGACUAACUUGUUACAUUGACGAUUUUUCAACAAAUGUUUAAAAAUGUCAAAAUCUAUAAUGUAUAUGAAAUAUAUUAAAAAAUAUUAAAAUUUUAAAAAAAAAUUGAAAUCAUAUAUAAAUUUAUAUAAAUAUAAAAACAAAUUAUGGAGAGGGGUCAAGGUCCCUCUGUCACAUCUAAGGUCUGUCUCUAAAUUUUCAUUUAUUAGGGUUGGAUAUAAUAUAUUUAACUAUAAUACUUGGACUUUUAAUGAUAAUUCUAUAGCACAAAACCUUCUUGAAUUAUCAAACAAUCUAGAACCCUUAAUCGAGAUUGUAGUGAAUAACAUCAGUUGAAUUUAAUCACACUAUCGUCUUAAGUAAUUUUACCUUAUAUUUUUUGAAAAUAAAAGAAAAGAGUGAAAGAAGAAUGUUAAUCUGUGUAAGUUGCUAUUCGUCUCUCCUGAAAAUACUCUUAGAAUAUUUCACCAUAAAGAAAGAAAAUGCAGACAAAAUGACAAAGACUUUUGAGGUAAAUAUUGUGUUGACGUAGAAUUUAAAAAAGCUUUUCACACUUUUUUUAGCACCUAAAAUCACGUCAUGUUGCUCCUCGUCAAUUUUCUAACCCAUAUAAGGGGGGCAGAACUUUAAAAUUCAAGCAUACGAUGAUGAAUUAUUUUACACUUUAUUCAUUUUUUUGUGUAAAGACAAUGAAGGAAUUUAUCUCAGUUGAUCGAAACGUAUUUGAAAAUAAAAUAAAAAGUGUGGAAGAAGAAUGUUAGUCUCUGUAGGUUGUUAUUGUUUAGCUCCAAAGGCAGAAAAAAAAAAGGCAAAAAUUCAUUUUAAGAAAUUCUUUCACACUUGUUUUUAGGUCUCUCUUAAGUAAUUUUUAGCACCUAAAGUGACGUUGCUCCUGCUCAAUUAGGUUGAUACAAAUUACGUUACUAUUUUGACAUGCAAAUUCAAUUUUAUAAAUUUAGUGUUCGGGUACGAGGUCGAGUCACCUAACUCCUACACAAUUUUCUCUUGAAAUCGAUUGAUUUUCUGUGUCCGCCUCCUCCUCCUUGUCUUAGUCUUCUCACGCCGGUUGUCCUCUUCUCGCUUUGUCUUUUCCUUUGUUUGAAUCAUGUACGAGAGAGUAUCUGCUAAAGGUUCUCCGAUGCCAGAGACAAUUUCGAUAAUCUGAGAAGUGUAUAAAAUGUGCAAUUAAUUAACCCACCUACCUUUUACCUUACUUGUAUUUAUAGUAUUGGUUAUAGGCCUUGGAUUAGAGAAACCUUAAGUAAGGUCCAAUUACAAUCCAAUAACCUUUAAUCCCGUCUUACCUUAAUUACGUCUGUAAAGCAGUUCAUCAUGGCCCCACAGUCUUGUCGUUGCUUAACAAUCGUCCCUCUGGAACGUCCAGUUCACCCCCAGUAUAUUUAGCAUAUAAAAAUCAAAUGGUUAGAUAGAUAGUGUAAUAUAAAAUUUCAGGGAGAAGCUCAAGGGAGAAGAAAAAAAAAACUUGAGCCUUUUCUAUGUUUCUUCUUUUUUAGAAGGAAAAUAUUACUACAGAUAUGUUCUUCUCAUAUUUCAUUUUGAUUAUCUUAUCAACUUAUGAUAAUGAUUAUGCUGAGAUUUAUUCUUUUCAUUAUAUUGGAUAAUUUUAUUCGUAUACAAAAUAUAAAUUAAUCUGGCGUUUCUAUAUUAUGCCUACGAGAUUUUCUUUAUCACAUGUAUAAUAAAUAGUUUUAUUGUGCAAUGUGUGAAGUGUGUGUUAGAAACUGAAUUUUCUGCAAAUUGUUUUAUUUUGAAAUAAUAAAUAGAAGUUUGAUUUUUAAAAUCAAUUGGGUUUGGAUAAAAUAUAUGUAUAUAGAAGCUUGAAUUGAGUUAAUGAUGAAGAACUUCUGUUAUUAACUUAACACGAGAUUUAGUAUUAGAAAGCUAUAGAAAGCUAAAAACGUGGAAAGUAGAAAGGUAUUAAAAGAAUUAACUUAAAAAUUAAUUUGAUUAAAUAUAAUUUCAAUCAUAUAUUUUAAAUGUAUGAUCAGAAUUUAUUUCUUUCAUCUGACACUUGUUUCGUAUAUUGUGAAAUUGAAAUAUUUUAUCUCUUUACCCAACAAAUAAAAAUAAGGGGUUUUCUCCUUUCAUAUACAAAAUUGUAUGAAAUAUUUUAGUAAAAAAAAGUUUGAACAAUUAGAGUUUUAAAAGGGAAGAUUAUGUGGUAAGGAUGAGGAACAAAUCAUUUUCGUUUGAAAAAAAAUUCCACUCUUUCUGAAAUUCUAAAAAUGAUUUUGAUAAAAAAAGUUAACAAUUUGUUUAAAUAGAUUAUUAUCGUUUAUUUCUUUCAUACAUUUUCGUAAAAUAGGUUAUUACAUGAGGAAAAUUAAUAAUUGGAUCUCUAAAAUAGUUUUGUUUAUAUGAUCUCUAAAAUUGGAUCUCUAAAAUAGUUUUGUUUAUAUGAUUUAUGUGUGGUGUUCUAAUAUUGUAAUCUAAAAGUCUUUUUGAUUUCAUUUUCUGCAUUUCCUUGUCACGAUGUCAUAAUUUGAUAAACUAUAAAAUGGGUUGGACUAGUUCUAUUUAUUUUUUUCUUUUUAUGUAUUUAAACAAGCCUUUCAUACAUUUUUUUUUAUCGUCUCUCAUUUAAUUUUAGCACCUAAAUUACGUUUCUUAUUUAAAAAAAGGGUUAAAUAUGUUUUUAGUCCCUAUACUUGGGACGAUUUUGGUUUUAGUCCCUCUUUCAAACUAAGGGUACAAUUUAAUCCUUCAACUUUAGAAAACUCUGGUUUUAGUCCUUUUUACCAAAUUUUUUUAACUUUAUUUACUGUUUCAAAAGCGUUUAUAUCAGUUAACAUUGAAGCAAAAAUGUGUCAAGCAGUGUAAACAAUCUAAAUGCUAUAAUGAAACGUGCUUGAAACAGCAAAUAAAGUUAAAAAAAUUUGGUAAAAAGAACUAAAACUAGAGUUUUCUAGAGUUGAAGGACUAAAUUGUACCUUAGUUUGAAAGAGGGACUAAAACCAAAAUCGCCCCAAAGUACAGGGACUAAAGCAUAUUUAACCCUUAAAAAAAAGAUACAAAAUAAGUUACUGAUUUUGACAACUCAAUCUGAUUUUAUAUUAUAGAAAAAUUAAACUUUGAUAUAGAUUAGGUUCAUCUCUACUUCUGCCAUGUCACCAUCAUUAAUUGGAGCAACUUCUCUUUUACUUUGCAUCAUUAUUGCUAAAAAUCAAAACUGGCUUCAUUAAAUUCUCUUUAGAGUUUGAUUUUCAUUAUUUUCAAUUGAGUGUUUCACAUCCAAAUAUAUAUAUAUAUAUAUAUAUAUAUAUAUAUAUAUAUAUAUAUAUAUAUAUAUAUAUAUAUAUAUAUAUAUAUAUAUUCUCCUCUUGAAGUGAAUUUAUGAUAUAUCAUACAAACACUAGUUAUUCAACAAAUUUAUUUGCUUUAUAACUUCAUAAAAUAGUUCUAAGCUUAAUAAUUUGAUGGAUGAUUUAAUCUAAACUUUUUUUUUUUAUCAAAUGGUAGAAAGGUCUUAAACAUUUCUUCUUCAUUUACUUAAACGCUUUCAGUCAACCUUAUAUCGUUCUCAAAUUUAUCUAUCGUCAAUAAUUGAAAUUCACAAUUUACUCAUUUUUAAAGUCUUAAUUUGAAAAAUAAAUCUUUAUAUUUACAUAUUUUCAUAAGUUGAUUAUUCUUAAUUAUAUGCAUAUGUACGUACAAAAUUUCAAUAUUUUUCAUUACAUCAUAUUUACGAAAUUUGAUUUAAUGGUAUAGUAUAAAAUGUAUUAGGUUAAAUUAUGUAAUAUGUUUUUAUUUUUUUAGGGAGGUAUCAAAAUUAGUCUUUUUUUUUUUUAUCUAUACCUUUCAAUUUGUUCCUUAUUUUAUAAGAUUUGAUGUAAUCAAAUUUUUUAUAUUAGUAUGGUACUAACAACACUAAAGAGAUAUGAUGUGUCAUUUCAUAAGUUUUCCAAUUUCUUAACUCUUUUUUUUCAAUUUUUUAAUUUUUUUCAAAAUAAAAAAAAAUUAUCACAUGUCAAACUAAUGUUGUGCAACAUGACACUAAUAAUGUUGUGUGUAUAUGUAUCAUUAUUUUAGUCAUAUGUUAAUCCUUGUAUUUUUAUUUUGUCUAAAUUUAGUUUCAAUUUUUUUAAAAUCAAUCAAUUUCGUUCCUCUUUAAAUUAAAAUAAAAUUUAAUUUUUAUAUAAAUGUUAUACAAAUAUUUUUAUUAAAAUUAAUAUUUUUAUUAUAUAUUUUUAACAAAAUUAAUUUUAUUUAUAUUUAGAUUUUACUUUGAAUUUUAUUUAAACUUGUUUUCAGAUUUUAAAUUUGUUUGUUUUAAAUUAUUGUAAAAUUGUUUAAAAUUAUUUUAAAAUUUUACAUUCGUACUAAUAAAAUUGUUUUCAAAGGGCUUAUUCUCUUGAUCAAACUUGUUUAACUAGAAAUCUUAAGUUUUUUUCAAAACCAUAUGGGAAUGGUGAGUUUUUUCUCCGUAUAUUAAUUUAUUUUUAUUUUUUAAAAUUAUUGUCCCUUUCAAAAAUUAUGACCCUUUAUACUUGAGUCGGCCUAACAAUGAUAAAAAAACUUGAAAUGUGAUGGGUGCGCCUAACAAUGAUGAUAUUUGAGUGAGUGACUGUUAAGUGAAUGGUUAAGACUCUGUCAAACAAUAAGUUCGGUUUUUAAAGUCAAGACAGAAAUAAUACAUUUAAUGUGAAUUGACUAUUUAUACUCUAUAAAAUAGAUUAUAAUAUUAAUUUUAACUUAUAAAAUGGACGGGGAAAAAGAAAUCCAUGCAUUUAAACAAGCCCUCUCUAAUUAAAUUUUAGCACCUAAAUUACGUAUCUUCUUUUCUAUUAAAUUGGUAGACUUUAAAAAAAUAAAAAUAUGUUACUGUUUUUGACAACUCAAUUUGAUUUUAUACCAUAGAAAAUUUAAAUUGUUUACUAAUAUUGCUGGAUCUGGAACCUUCUUGUGUUUUCAGAUAUAUUUUGUCAGUAAAAAUUAUUCAGAGUUUAACUUAUAUUUAUCAAAUACUAAUAAUUUAAUUAGUUAUAUGAACAAGUUUCAGAUAUAAGUUAGGUUUUAUGAAUUAAUUUUUCAAAAUUUAAAAAUAGUUGAUAAAGAGGGAAAACGUGUUGAAGAUGUUGAGUAAUUGAUAUUAAUUUUGACUUCACACUCAAUUAAAAGUAAUAAUCAAGGAAAUUAUCUCAGUCAAUUCAAACAUAUUUCAAAAGAAAAAAGGUAGAAGAAGAAUGAAAAUGAAAAUGAAAAUAGUUAGAUAGAUAGCAUAAACAUAAAAAGGCAUUGCAGCACUAUAUAUAUGUUAUUUCCCGUGCAUAACCCGUAACCACUUAUUUUUAACACUUGUUAAAAUGAAUUCCUUCCUUUUGAUAAUCGUGUUUGUUCAUCUUUGUUGGGUUUCUCUAAGUCUGAGCGCAGAGACAGUGUGCAUUGGAAGUGAGAGAGAGACACUGUUAAAGUUGAAGCAUCAUAUCAUUGAUCCUUCAAAUAGACUUUCUUCUUGGAAUGCUUCUCUUAAUCCAAAUUGUUGCCACUGGUAUGGAGUUCUCUGCAACAAUGUCACAUCCUACGUUGUAGAGCUUCACCUCAACACUCCACUUCCUUCUUUCCCUUUCGAUGAGAGCCUAAUAUAUGAAACUUACGAAGAAGUUCACAGAGAAACAUUCAAUGAGUAUAGUAGAAGGGCAUUCAGUGGAGAGAUAAAUCCUUGUUUGGUUGAUUUGAAGCAUUUGAAUUACUUGGAUCUCAGCGGCAAUCUUUUU